CUCCUGUGAUGACCUCCAUUCAGUGCCACGUGUCUGGGCCACUGACUUGCAAUGAUGGCAGUGAGGAUCUGAGGAG
Molecule: small nucleolar RNA, 76 nt
Organism: Scleropages formosus (Asian bonytongue)
Lineage: Eukaryota; Metazoa; Chordata; Actinopteri; Osteoglossiformes; Osteoglossidae
Product: small nucleolar RNA SNORD66
Source: Ensembl